RNAcentral lists this ribosomal RNA (496 nucleotides) under uncultured bacterium. RNAcentral describes it as "partial 16S ribosomal RNA". It matches the Rfam family "Bacterial small subunit ribosomal RNA", at positions 28 to 507 of the family's 1533-position model. The record is from RNAcentral.
GAUGAACGCUGGCGGCGUGCCUAAUACAUGCAAGUCGAGCGAACAGACGAGGAGCUUGCUCCUCUGACGUUAGCGGCGGACGGGUGAGUAACACGUGGAUAACCUACCUAUAAGACUGGGAUAACUUCGGGAAACCGGAGCUAAUACCGGAUAAUAUAUUGAACCGCAUGGUUCAAUAGUGAAAGACGUUUUGCUGUCACUUAUAGAUGGAUCCGCGCCGCAUUAGCUAGUUGGUAAGGUAACGGCUUACCAAGGCAACGAUGCGUAGCCGACCUGAGCGGGGGAUCGGCCACACUGGAACGUAGACACGGUCCAGACUCCUACGGGAGGCAGCAGUAGGGAAUCUUCGGCAAUGGUCGAAAGCCUGACGGAGCAACGCCGCGUGAGUGAUGAAGGUCUUCGGAUCGUAAAACUCUGUUAUUAGGGAAGAACAAAUGUGUAAGUAACUAUGCACGUCUUGACGGUACCGAAUCAGAAAGCCACGGCUAACUACGUG